CGCGCACGGGCGGCUUCGGCUCGCGCGUGGCGUUCACGGCCACGGGCGCGCCCGCCGGCGUGACGCUGACGUUCGACUCCACGGCGCGCGUC
RNAcentral lists this transfer RNA (92 nucleotides) under Roseisolibacter agri. RNAcentral describes it as "tRNA-Sec". The record is from RNAcentral. Lineage: Bacteria; Pseudomonadati; Gemmatimonadota; Gemmatimonadia; Gemmatimonadales; Gemmatimonadaceae.